Molecule: small nucleolar RNA, 128 nt
Filed under: Nannospalax galili (Upper Galilee mountains blind mole rat)
Lineage: Eukaryota; Metazoa; Chordata; Mammalia; Rodentia; Spalacidae
Description: Small nucleolar RNA SNORA61 (ENSNGAG00000002750.1)
Rfam family: Small nucleolar RNA SNORA61
About the family: ACA61 is a member of the H/ACA class of snoRNA that guide the sites of modification of uridines to pseudouridines.
Source: Rfam by way of RNAcentral
AUCCUCUGGUUGCCUUUCCAUUGGAUCUCAACACUGGUCUUGGUGGUUGUAAAGGAGGAAGAGCAUGAUGAAGCUGGCCUCACAGCCUUGUAGUCUGGUAUAAGCAUGUGUGCUAGAUUCAAACAGGG